Molecule: small nuclear RNA, 102 nt
Organism: Mesocricetus auratus (golden hamster)
Lineage: Eukaryota; Metazoa; Chordata; Mammalia; Rodentia; Cricetidae
Source: Ensembl
CAAUUAAGAAAAUGCCUCUGUAAGAUCAGAGUAUAACAGAGAAGAUUAGCAUGGGCCCUGCACAAGGCUGACACACAGAUUCGUGAAGCGUUCCAUAUUUGG